This 599-nucleotide long non-coding RNA is filed under the name Chrysemys picta bellii (western painted turtle). RNAcentral describes it as "lncRNA (ENSCPBG00000018848.1)". The record is from RNAcentral. Lineage: Eukaryota; Metazoa; Chordata; Testudines; Emydidae.
UGAAAUGUUCUGAGCACCUCUAGAGUAUAGCAUGGUGACUGGAGAGUGAAUUGGGAGAAAGCACAUGUUGGGGCCACGCUGUUGAUAGCUGAAGCCAAAGAGUUAUAAGAACCUGGCUUCUUUGCAAAACUUUAUCCCUCCGAGUCCUUUACAUGGAGUAGCCUUUCCAUUUACUGCUGUGGGGACAAUAAAAAGAAUGGGAGACGCUGUAUAUACAGCCUUAAUACCUUACCUUAAAAUUCUUUACCUUUCCUCUAGUCCAGCUCACAUACUAGGGGGGUUACGCUUGCAUGUUCGGAUGCAUAUCUUGCAGUCCAAUUAGUCUGUAUAUAUUUGUAUUCAACAGAUGCCAAGGAAAAUAGAAAAGAAACUUCAUCUUCAUCCUACGAGGGACGAAGCAGCUCAUCUGAAGACAGGAGUUCCUCAGAGGUGGAAUCAGAGAGCAGCCUCCAGGAUGGGGUCACAGAACAGCCAGCUCCAGGCCCAGGUUCCAAAGUACUAGGAGGAAUUAGAAGAGAAAUUUCCACAUCAUUAGACACUUUAAGCCGGUAAGGAAGGACUCACUUCAAUUCCCAUUUGAACUUAGUGGAAUUAUUUGC